Molecule: non-coding RNA, 666 nt
Organism: Theobroma cacao (cacao)
Lineage: Eukaryota; Viridiplantae; Streptophyta; Magnoliopsida; Malvales; Malvaceae
Source: RefSeq, a predicted model, not a curated record
CCUUAAAAUCCUCAAAAGUCUUAUUUUGAUACUUUCUCUCACUAGUUAAGUGUUUUAGAGAGAGAAAGAGAGACGUCUUAUACUAGCUUGAGGACUUUUAAGAAGGAGUUCAAUUACAAAGCUACCAAGGUUCCAACGAGACUCCACAUCCCCAUUCGAACCAUUAGUGGAAGUUGGAGUCGAUUUAAAAAUCAACGAGGAUCGAUCAAGAGGCAGUUGGAACCUAGGUCGAGGUGUCCACAUAGAUUCGUCUCCUUGGUAGGUAUGUCGGCAUUUAAUAGCUGUACCUUUGCCAAGGUCACUCCGUUUGAAGUCGAGUGUCUUUUUGUUGUGUAUAGAUAAACAUGAUGUAAAUUACUAAGAUAUAUGUCUUAGACAAUAUAUGUAUAUUUUGAUUGGAAAUGCCAUUAUGAGUUGGCAAUGGUUAACACUAUUUUAGGUUAACAUAAAUGCAAGUAUUUGAUUGCUGUAGCACAUUAUUAAUGUACUUGUAGGUUGAAAUAAUGAAAUGUGACUUUAGGAACAUUUGAUAGAAUGAUGAACAGGUUAUAUAAAUAGGCUUGCUUGGGCUUAGUGGGCUAUGCCCAUUGGGUCCAUGCACCGGUCAUGGCUCGAAAAUUGGGCUAUGACAGUUUCAAUUGCAUUAAGAUAUGGAACUUCAAGAUU